Molecule: non-coding RNA, 260 nt
Organism: Lactuca sativa (garden lettuce)
Lineage: Eukaryota; Viridiplantae; Streptophyta; Magnoliopsida; Asterales; Asteraceae
Source: RefSeq, a predicted model, not a curated record
CCAUAUCUUUGUGUUUACUGAUGGAAAGAGAUUAGGGAAAAAGAGAGGCGCCAAAGCCAGACAAAGCGACAUAGAGAAACGAAACGUCCCAUGGCGCCUAGAAAUUGUUGUCCACGAGGAAAAGUUAAUCAUAGUCUGAAAGAUCAAUCGUUCAUCUGAAAUCUGUUUGACUUCUUAUUCAUCUGUUUGACUUAUGGUUAAGUUUUGUUAUCGAAAUCAGUGUUUAUUUAGUUUUUUAGAAAUCUUAUUUGUUUCUUAUA